CGACGUUUUCUCUCCUCUUCCCCUUUUCUCCCACAACGCCGAGCCGUUACCUCUCCCAGCCAACCCGACGCCGUCUUCUUCUCUAAACCGUCGCCACGUCGGUUCCUCUCUUCUCCUCCGGUACAAAAGGAGUGGCCAAAGGAAGCCCUAGCCAUCUCCUCAAUUGCCACUUGCCCUCUUCCUCUCUUCCUCUCUUCUACCGACGCUGACUUCACUACCAGCGCCAACUCCGAUCACCCCUCUUCCUCUCCUCGAGCCUCCUUCCCUCUCUUCGCGAACACUAGGAGCCGCCGGAAAGCGAGCAUUCGAGCCCUAUUUUACUGUGCCCUAGUCUGAAGCCAUCGUCGCCGCGCCAGUUGCUAUGAGCCCUUACUGUCAAGCGCGACUUCUUCUCCUAACUCUCGGUUGCCACUGCAAGAAACCCUAGCGCCGACCACUAGCUCCUCUGCCGAACUUCACUACAUCUCCUCUCCCGAUUGCCGCGAGCCACUAUGUCGAACCACUUCUCACAACAGGUCUAUUCUCGGGAAUGCGCCAGAUAUUGCUGCACAACUCUGUGAUGUUUUAGGUCGGAGGACAGCAACCCUAGUUUGCUUCGACCACUGGUUUCCGACGUUUUCCGACAACAGGCACAUUCGGUAGUGACUCAACAGUCGAGCAUUCAGAUUUGGGGAUUUUAGGAUCUACUGUGGCAAUCUUGCUUCGGCUGAGGACAUCAAGAAAAAGGUUGCUGAGAUACAGGUAAAAGAAAAGUGGACUAGUGGAGGCUGGAGGGCAAUGCAAAUCAAGAUGUGUGUGGAAGGAACUAGAAUAAAGAUCCUUGGGAUCCAGCAAAUUCAAUUAAACAUAUGAACUCUAGUAUUUCUAUUACUCUUGGUUUUAGCAUGUUAAACGCCAUGAGCUAACGAACCAUGCUUUAGAUUAUGCUUAGAAUGUUAAAUAUAUGAUGUUAGA
Zingiber officinale is the source of this 954-nucleotide long non-coding RNA. RefSeq lists it as uncharacterized. The record is from RefSeq and is a predicted model, not a curated record. NCBI's taxonomy places the organism in Eukaryota, Viridiplantae, Streptophyta, Magnoliopsida, Zingiberales, Zingiberaceae. The transcript is spliced from 3 exons.